AAAAAGUUAAAGAAAGUGUGAGAUUGCGAGUAAAUGGCGUCUCGAGUUGUUUUUUUAGUGAAUAUCAAAUAUGUUUCUCAUGUUACAGUGAUAAAAGCGAAGUUUUAAUACUUGCGAUGUUAAUGUAUUUGUUAUCAUUAAAGUUUCAUUGACAAUUACUCAGUCUUAACCAUACGGUUCACAUUCUGUGACGAAACAAUGGCGUCGAACGAUUCUGGUGAAUCCCACGUAAAAGACGGUGAAAAUCGCGAUUUAGUGACCGACGGUUGCAAUAAAAGUGGGAAUUCUGAUAUCGGUGAAUACGUUAAACGCCGCCGGAUGACUCAUGACUAUCGAAAACUGUCGAAACUGGGAUACGAUCCAAGUGUGCCAACAGUGAUCAAGCACGCACCAGCUUCGGAUUCUAAAGGUAAAAAACGUAAGCGCAGCAUUGAGUCUAAGGAAGUAUGUGUGUGGGGAGAAAACGCCAAACCAGCGAAACUGAGUAAAAUAUGGCCAGUUUUCGAUUCUGGAGGAUUUGGCGACACUGCCAUCAUGACACUGCAUAUCGUGCAAAAACCAACACCAGAGAAGAACCCUCUUCUGUUCUAUAGACACCAUGAUUUGUGUACUGAACUCAACCAACCUUUAGACUGGUUUGGUGGCAUCAACGCUUCCUGGAAGCAGACACAACUAUCGAGAUCAGUUCCAUGUGAUGACGUCACAAAGCGAAUAUAUUCGUCCGUGUCACGACAACUGCGCAUCAUCAAUGCUCAUUUCCAACAUAACAUGUUAAAGUACAAGUACCCUAAAGUGUCCCGAGCUAAUGUUUUACUAGAAAGUUCCACUUCGAGACGUCUUUCGACUCAAGUCAGCAUGGCCUUACGAGCGAUCAAGUUCCAGUCGACACCGAGAAGGGAGUUACCGUGCUAUGGUAAUUUAGAGCUGCCGUUCAAGAUUAAACAGGAAGGUUCAUCUUCUUCAUCGCCCCAGUUUUACCCAGCGAUAGGCAGAAGUGUUAAAGUGAAUACAGAUGCUAAACUAAAUACAGAUACUAAAGUGAACAGUGAUAUCAAAGUGAACAAUGAGAUUAAAGUGGAGAGAGACAUCGUCAAGGUGGAGAAGGACAGAGACAAGGAUAGAGAGAGGGAGAAAGAAAGAUCGUCGCAUUCGUCGCGUCACUCCAGCUGUCAGCAGUGCAGACGGAGGUCCCGCAUCAAGCGGUGCUCCAUCGGGGUGCAGUGCCGGAGGGAGAGGACGGGGCCCAUGUGGGGACCGCUCUCUCAGACCAUUGACCUGAAGGGAUUGAAGUAUCACAGACUGAUGAGAGUGGACACGCACCCUAACGGUGGUGCUAGCGUGGUGUACCUCAACCAGCAAGACGUGGACAUGCUAAGCCGGGGCCAGCAGGAAGCACUUGCCAAAGAAUUCUUGAAGCUGGUAUUCUCGGAAGACGGUGAGGGGUGGGCGAACUUCGUGUGUGGGGUGGUGCGCGGGGCCGCAGCUCGGUUCCCCUGCCUGCUGCAAUACCUGGCUGAGAAGCACCCGUCCCUGCCCGUCAAGGCUGGAGUCCUGGCCCGGGCUUCGGACAUAGAGACCACCACCAUCAGCCGUUAUCAACAACAGGUGCAACAAACGUACGCGGCGGGCACGUUCCGGUGCGGGCCGCUGCACCAGAUCUCCCUGGUGGGCACGGUGCACGAGGAGGUGGGGGGAUACUUCCCGGACAUGCUCACCAUGCUCACCGAGUGCCCGUUCCUUAAUCUUACAAUGCCUUGGGGACCAAUGUCAGCCGUCGAAAUGGAGCCUCAGGAAUCAAAUGAUGGACCAAUCCUGUGGAUCAGACCGGGAGAGCAGCUGGUGCCCACUGCAGAACUUGGAAAGAGCCCUAUAAAGAAGAGAAGAACUGGCAUGAACGAGCUACGCAACCUGCAGUACCUGCCGCGGUGGAGCGAGGCGCGCGAGUUCCUGUUCGAGGACCGCACGCGCGCGCACGCCGACCACGUCGGCCACGGCCUCGACCGCAUCACCACCGCCGCCGUCGGCGUCCUGAAGGCGAUCGGUACCGGUGCGGAUCCCGGCGGGGGGCGCAUCACGAAAGACGUGGUGGCGUUCCACGCGGCGGACUUCAACAAGCUGGUGCAGCUGCUCCAGCUUGACCUGUACGAGCCGCCCAUCUCGCAGUGCGUGACAUGGUUGGAGGAGGCGAAACUGAACCAGCUGCGGCGCGAGGGCGUGCGCUACUCGCGGCUGCCGCUGUGCGCGGACGACGUGUACUUCCUGCCGCGCAACAUCAUACACCAGUUCCGGACCGUCUCCGCCGUCACCUCCAUCGCGUGGCAUCUCAGACUGAAGCAGUAUUACCCGUCGUCGGAGGCGUCCUCGCCCGCGGAGGAGCGACCGCCGGCAGACACGGUCAACAACACACCUGACCCUGAAACCAAAUCAUCGAAACACAAACUAGGCGUCAUCGAGAUGAGAGCGCUGAGCGCCAAGUUCAAGGAGAAAUCCGCCUUAAAAAUAUCUGAAAACCGCAAGAGUUUAGAUGUCCAAAGUAAGGAUAAGUCGGACGACAAGAAAGAGAGGCGGAGCGACAAGCACGACCGAGCUGACAAGACUGACCAGAAGAACGAGAAACACAGACACAAAGAUGGAGACAGACACAAAUCCGACGGCCGAUCGGACAAACACGACAGCAAAAUCGAUAAAAGUGAAGGGAGAGCUGACAGACCUGACAAGGAGAAAGAUAAGACGGAGAAGUCCUACAGAGAAAAAGACAAAAGUGAUGUUAAGUGUGAGAAGACAGAAAGAAACGACAGAUCUUACAAGGGUGAAAACAAAGCGGAGAAAACUGACAGUCACGAUAGGAGUCGAGCGGACAGACCGGAGGUCCGGGAAAGAUCCGAGAGGUCAGAAAAGUCCGACAGGUCAGAAAAGUCCGAUAGAACAGAGAAGGAAAAUCGGAACGACAAGUCAGAGAACAGAACCGAGAAGUCGGAAAGUUCAGACAAGAGCCACGACCACCACAGGAGGCACUCGUCCUCGUCCAGACACAAGUCUUCCCACCACAAGUCGGAAAGAUCGAGGGAGCACAAGGACCACCGAAAGGAGCACAGGAGCUCAGAUGACAGGAGGUACGAGAAACACAGGGACAGAGAUGUGAAAAGUAUUACAGAAGUUAAACAGGAAAGUGAUAAGUUACCACAGACAGUGCAUCAACCACCCGAUUAAGUAUUGUGCUAGAGAAUUAAGUUUAGUGCUCGUACCCAUCAGAUCCUUGUGGAGGUAAGUUUUUAAUGUAACCUUUACAUUGUUUUAUCAUAGGAUGUUUUAGAAUCGUUUUCGUUUCGAUAUAGAUUAGUAGAUCUAUAUUUUUGUACUUUGCCAACGUUUUAAAUUCGUACCAAAUUGAUCUCUAAAUUUACCAGCCACAAGGUUCAGAUGUGAACCGAUAAGUCGGUGCUAGGCUAAAUUUUCUGUAAAUACUAGGUAAGUCUCGUAGAGGCUAAGAGAAUGGUUGGAUGCGCAGUUUUAGGUUUCUUGUACUUAUUUCACAGUUUUGAUUGAAAUGAGCAUAAGGUACCUUAACUUUUGAUUGAAAUGAGCAAAAGUGAGGUAAAAAGUAUUUACGAUACAUAAAAUACAUUCGUAUUUUGUUUAUUUUUAAGUCCAGUGAUUUGUCUGUAUUCUAAUCUUUUAUUUUUUUAACUAUCUUAAUAUGAUAAUAUAUUAUAUUCAUCACAAAUACAUACUUUUUAAAAUCAGAUUGUAACUCUUAUUCUUUACAUUUUUAAAUAACCAUCAAAGUCGAAAUAAGAAUGAAAAUUUGAAAAUCUUUUCAAAAACUAUACUGUACAGUGCUCCCAAAGUGAUAAUGCGCACAGAAAUUUUCGUUAUUGUUCGGCAACGGUCGUUUUUCCCGAGCGUCGCAAGACGAUGCCACAAAACCUUUUAUACGCAACAAACGGUAUUGUGGCGCAUGCGCCAAAAAUAGAGACAAUUGACGGAUCGGCGACAGCCGGCGCGUACCGACCAUAAUAUGAUAUUUACUUCUAUUUCUUUCGAACAAGGUGCAAAAUGC
Aricia agestis (brown argus) is the source of this 4060-nucleotide RNA transcript. RefSeq lists it as uncharacterized. NCBI's taxonomy places the organism in Eukaryota, Metazoa, Arthropoda, Insecta, Lepidoptera, Lycaenidae. The record is from RefSeq and is a predicted model, not a curated record. The transcript is spliced from 13 exons.